UUCAACUACAGUGAAAAAACUCAGCAAUAAGUCCCACAAAAAGUUAUUGUUUAUGUUACCUUGUUGUUUUCGCUAUUCUGGCCAGCUUCCUUGAUCUCUGCUUUCCUUCUUCGAAUAACAGAGUAUGUAAAAUCAUCAAUGAUUUUAAUGCUUUUGUCAAGUAAAGCUUCUGAUCCCACAUUUAAAUAUCUCUUUAUUCUCCACAAUGGAUCAAUGAACCGAAGUGUCACAAUAAUGUUUGCAGUGUCAAAGGCCUUGGCAAAGUGAUUAUCUGGUAGAUUGGGAGCCAGAGUUCCAAUUUCUACACCAAAUCCCACCUUACAUAUGGAGUCCAAAGUCAUCCUCAUCAGCAGUUCCUGCACAAAAUAUUAUAUUCAGAGCUCCAUUUAUAGAA
Molecule: long non-coding RNA, 394 nt
Filed under: Prunus persica (peach)
Lineage: Eukaryota; Viridiplantae; Streptophyta; Magnoliopsida; Rosales; Rosaceae
Description: long non-coding RNA (PPER_LNC001267)
Source: RNAcentral